GUGGGGAAUCUUGCGCAAUGGGCGAAAGCCUGACGCAGCCAUGCCGCGUGAAUGAUGAAGGUCUUAGGAUUGUAAAAUUCUUUCACCGGGGACGAUAAUGACGGUACCCGGAGAAGAAGCCCCGGCUAACUUCGUGCCAGCAGCCGCGGUAGUACGAAGGGGGCUAGCGUUGCUCGGAAUUACUGGGCGUAAAGGGCGCGUAGGCGGACAGUUUAGUCAAAGGUGAAAGCCCAGGGCGCAACCUUGGAAUUGCCUUUGAUACUGGCUGUCUUGAGUACGGGAGAGGUGAGUGGAACUCCGAGUGUAGAGGUGAAAUUCGUAGAUAUUCGGAAGAACACCAGUGGCGAAGGCGACACACUGGCUCAUUACUGACGCUGAGGCGCGAAAGCGUGGGGAGCAAACAGGAUUAGAUACCCUGGUAGUCC
RNAcentral lists this ribosomal RNA (425 nucleotides) under uncultured bacterium. RNAcentral describes it as "partial 16S ribosomal RNA". It matches the Rfam family "Bacterial small subunit ribosomal RNA", at positions 354 to 796 of the family's 1533-position model. The record is from RNAcentral.